GGGAGAUAAGAUUGAGCCAUCAAAGGAGCAUCAACAAUCCGAUUACUUAAAAAAAAAAAAUAAUGUGCAGACGUUAUAUGUUGUAUGUUUUUUUUAGUUAUAUAAUAUAAAAUUUACUAUUAUUCAACAUGAGGAUGGUGUGGUUCAGUGUAGAAACUUGCAUGCCUACAGAUAUAUAACACCCCCUACAAAACACAGAUUAUCAAUUUAAAAGAUGAAAUCUAAUGGAUCAAAAUAUAAAGAACCAAAUCAAGACACUUACUAAAUUACUGUAGAAAAGAAAGACAAUUGUUGAAGAUUAACCUAAGAAACUCUAUCCAUUUAUGGAGUUUGCGUUGUUUCGAAUUCUAUAAUCAGACCCUCCGAAUGGAUGAUCGCUCUAGGACGACAUGCAGGUGGAUCAUAGAAAUCUAAGAAAACUUAAAUAUAGUUCCUAAGAUUAAGAGGAAUCUUAUAUCUAUUUCUUGUCUUAUUGAACAAUCAUAUAAUGUAACCUUUUCUUAGAAAUGAACACUUCAUUCAAAGAUAUUUAUUACUUUUAUGUGAAUCUUGUCUUGGAAUGAAAUGUUCAUUUCUAAGAAUGGUAUACAUGUUUAUUUAGCUAACCUUGAAGACAACUUGUAUGUAUUAAGACCUAACAAAGCAAAAGCAAUUUUAAAUAAUGAGAUAUUUAAAACUGCUAAUACUCAAAAUAAAAUGCAACGAAUUUCUCCUAAUAACAAUACCUAUCUUUGGCAUUUAAGAUUAAGUCACAUUAAUCGCAAUAGGAUCACGAGAUUAAUAAAGAAUGGACUCCUAAAUCAAUUAAAAGAUUAUUCAUUCCCUCCAUCUGAAUCUUGUCUUGAAGGAAAGAUGACUAAAAGACCUUUUACUAGAAAAUGUUAUAGAACCAAAGAGCCCCUAGAACUUAUACAUUCAGACCUAUGUGGUUUGAUGAAUGUAAAAGCUAGAGGAGGUUUUGAAUACUUCAUCUCAAGGUAUGGUUAUUUAUACUUAAUGAUGCAUAAGUCUGAAGCUCUUGAAAAGUUCAAGGAGUAUAAGGUUGAAGUUGAAAAUCUAUCAAGUAAAAAGAUUAAAAUACUUCAAUCUAAUCGAGGUGAAGAGCACAUGGAUUUGAGAUUUUAGGACUAUAUGAUAGAACACGGAGUCCAAUCUCAACUCUUAGCACCUGGUACACCUCAACAAAAUGGUGUUUCAGAAAGGAAAAAUAAAACAUUGUUAGACAAGGUUCGUUCAAUGAUGAGUUAUGCUCAAUUGCUUAGCUCGUUUUGAGGGUAUGUAGUGGAGACUGCAGUUCAUAUCUUGAACAAUGUUUCAUCGAAGAGUGUUUCUGAAACACCUUUCGAGUUAUAGAUAGGACGUAAACCUAGUUUAAGUCACUUCAGAAUUUGGGGUUGUCCAGCUGGUGUAUUAGUGACAAAUCCCAAAAAGUUGAAAAAACGUUCAAGGUUGUGCCAUUUUGUUGGUUACCAUAAAGAAAUGAGAGGUGGCCUAUUCUUCGAUCCACAAGAAAACAUAGCGUUUGUGUCGAAAAAUGCUACUUUCUUGAAAGAAGACCACAUGAGAGAUCAUAAACCACGAAGAAAAUUAGUAUUAAGUGAAGCUAUUGAUGAAUAAAAAAAGGUUGUUGAUGAAGUUGGUCCAUCGUCAAGAGUUGAUGAAACCAACACAUCAAGUCAGUCUCAUCCUUCUCAAUCAUUGAGAAUGCCUCGACGCAGUAGGAUAAUUGUAUCACAACCUAACUUUUACUUGAAUUUAACCGAAACUCAGGUUGUCAUACCAGAUGAUGCGUUGAGGAUCUAUUGUCUUAUAAACAAACAAUGAAUGAUGUAUACAAGGAUCAAUGGAUCAAAGCCAUGGACCUUGAAACAGAGUCUAUGUACUUCAAUUUAGUGUGGGAGCUUGGAGAUCUACCUAAAGGGGUUAAACCUAUACGAUGCAAAUGGAUCUAUAAGAGAAAGAGAGAUUGAGUUGGAAAGGUAAAUACCUUCACAACUAGACUUGUAGCAAAAUGGUAUACCCAAUGGGAAGGGAUUGACUAUGAGAAUUUUGUUUCCCUAUUGCUAUGUUAAAGUCUAUAAGGAUUCUCUUGUCUAUAGCCACUUUUUAUGAUUAUGUGAAUCUUGAAGAUCACUUUUUUUAAUGACAAUCUUGAAGAGAGUAUCUUUAUGUCUCAGCCUGAGGGGUUCAUAAUCAAAGGUCAUGAGCAAAAAGUUUGCAAGUUGAAUCGAUCCAUUUAUGGGUUGAAACAAGCAUCUAGAUCUUGGAACAUUAGAUUUGAUGUUGCGAUCAAAUCUUAUGGUUUUGACCAAAACAUUGAUGAACCUUGUGUAUACGAGAAAAUCAACAAUGGUAAAGUAGUUUUCUUAGUACUUUAUGUGGAUGAUACCCUUCUCAUUGGAAAUGAUGUAGGAUACUUAAUUGACGUUAAAACUUGGCUAGUAGCCCAAUUUCAAAUGAAAGAUUUGGGAGAGGUACAAUGUGUUCUAGGGAUCCAAAUCAUAAGGGAUUGUAAAAAUAAAACACUAGCACUGUCUCAAGCAACUUAUUUCGAUAAAAUGUUGGUUCGAUAUUCGAUGCAAAACUCUAAGAAGGAUUUAUUACCUUUCAGGCACGUGGUUCACUUGUUUAAGGAAUAGUGUCCUAAGACACCUCAAGAAGUUGAGGAUAUGAGACGUAUUAGUUGUGGGUAGCUUAAUAUAUGUAAUGCUUUGCACUAGGCCAGAUAUUUGUUAUAGAUUGGAAAUAGUCAGUAGAUAUAGAUCCAAUCCAGGGUUAGACCACUGGAUGACGGUUAAAAUUAUUCUUAAGUAUCUUAGGAAAACGAGAGACUAUAUGCUUGUGUAUAGAGCUAAGGAUUUAAUCAUUAUGGGAUACAUUAACUCUGAUUUCGAAACUGAUAAGGAUUCUAAGAAAUUCACAUCGGGAUAAGUGUUCACCCUAAACGGGGGAGCUAUGAUAUGACGUAGCAUCAAACGAGGAUGCAUUGCAGACUCUACUAUGGAGGCUGGGUAUGUCGCUGCUUGUGAAGCAGCGAAAGAAACAACUUGGCUCAGGAAGUUCCUGCAUGAUAUGAAAGUUGUUCCUUAUCUUGGUAAUACUAUGGAUACGACUCACUUUGUUUUUGAUACAAACACAAUGAUCCAACGAGUUCAUGUAGUUGACAUGCGAGUAAAGGUAUCCUAUGCAAUAAGAUUGCAUAAGACCAGACCGCGAAAUAGUAACCAUUAGAUGUAACUACGUUAACUAGUUAGGUUUCUAUUUUACUUGGAUGACCUAGGUAACUUAGUCUUAAUCUUGAGUGUAUUAUGAAUUACUGUUUGUGAGGGAGUGUCCUUUAAUUUGUAUGAGUGAGAGUGGCCAGAUUGUCGGCUCAAUAAGCUUAUCAUUUUGGAGACAAGAUCAAGCGGGGAGUUGGUAACAUAAUAUUACACAAGAUGAAAUUCACUCAUUCCCUACUUUUGGGUAAGUAGAUGGGUGUUCCCUUAAAUUGUGUCUCCAUGACUUGAACAAAGGGUCUUUACCCUCUUUAUGGUACGAGAGGGAGUUUUGUUUAUUGGUAGAACCAUAAACAAGUUGUUCAUUAGAGAAGCACUGAUAUUUAAGGAUUAGAGGUAACUAAGGGUAAAACGGUAAAUUGAUCUAGCUGGUGUUACAAACACUCCUAAAGGACUAACUUACUGUUAUUGGUCUAUAUCCAUGGACACAUAAAUAUAUCUACAGUGAGAAGAGCCCAGUUGUGAGUCUUUAGUGGAGUGUAUACACAGUUAACGAAUAUUGAUUAAUGUGGUUAAUGAGUUUAGCCAAUUAAUCUCAAAUCGUUGUAACUUCUGAUUUGUAUGUCUAUUAGGUUUCCUUCCUAACUCGUAAAGGGUAAUGAAAUUUAUUUAUAGUGGUUGUAAUUUGAAAUGUUUAAAUUUACUUUGAGAAUUAGUUUAAUGUAUAAUGAUACAUUAUAAUAUAAAGUUUAUCAAAUUUUAUUAUAUAAAUUUAAUUUUGGAUAUGAUUCAAAAUUAAUAUAUGAGAGAUAAAAUAUUUGAAUGAGUUCAAAUAUUAAUUUAAUGUGAAUUGGAUUCAAACUAUUGAUUAGUAGAGAAACUUAUAUUUGAAUAUGAUUCAAAUUUAAUCUAAAUUAAAUAUAAAAUAUUUAAUUUAGCUAUUAAUUAAUAAUUAAAUUAAAUUAAAUUAAUAUAAAUCUAUAAGAUAUUUGACAGAUAUUCAUCCAAAUAAGAUUUGAAUGAAAUAUUAAUUAAAUAUGAUUUAAUUAAUUAUAUUAAUAUAUAUCUAUAAGAUAUUGGAUAGAUAUUCAUUUAAAUAAGAUUUAAUUAAUUAUUAACUAAUUGAUUAAUGGUUAAUUAAUGAGUAGAUUUGAAAUAUCUAUUAAUUUAAGUUUUUUUAAAUUAAUGAAAUCUCACAAUUCUUUCAAAUCCCUUUUCUAUUUUAAGAGGGUUAUAAAUACUUAGAAGAAAAUAUUUCUUUUAAGGAAUUAAUCAAGAAAAAAAAAACAAAAGCUUUUUGGUUUGUGCAAAAAAAAAAAAAAAAGUUUCUCUCAAAUAUCUAUAAACAUUUUUCAUCCCAAUUGGUUCCCACAAACCAAUCUCAUGAUAGAAAGUAAAUUCUCUAUAUCUUUUAAAUUAAAAGCAUGCUUAAUUUUAAUUUAGAAUUUUGAUUCUAAAUUUUGUCGAUGUACUGGUAUUUUGAAAUUUCCAAAUUAAUUUGAGAAAUAGUUUCGUAAAAUCUUCCACUAUCAUAGGACUUUUAUCCCUCCACUAUCAUAGGACUUUUAUCCCUUCACUGUCAACAACUCAGUUUAGCACGUUCAUAAUCCUAUCAUUUAUUCAUACUUCUUACAAUAUCCCUGUCUUAUGGGCCUAACUACGAAGCUCUUUUUGCACAAAAAAUUGAAGAUCCAGUCAAAAGGGGUAUACACUCAUACGCCCAAACCAAAAGAGAGAAGGAAAAUCCAGCAAUGCCAACGACUUGGGCAAAAGGGUUUUUUAUAGAUUCUUUUAUUGAAUCUUUCAGAACAUAAUACCCAAUUUUGCCUCGUGUAUAAGCCUCACAUUGACUUUCAUCAUUAACCAAUUUUAUGUGAUCCAUAUCUACCCGUUGUUAAUUGUUUUUCUAUUAGAAAAUUUUCAAGGAAGUAAAUCUUUGUCAUUUUGACUUUGUCCUCAUCUUUCAGUUUUCUUGAAUCAUUAAAAAUGUAUACAACCUCUGAUCUAGGACUAUCUUCAUCCUCGAAGUAUUUUGAUGAGAAUUUAUCAUUCAAUUUCUUCAUAUUUACAGGUAGUAAUGGUCCACAAUUCGACUUUGUUAUUGUUUCAUAUUCUCUUAUUCCAAAUUUUGCUAUAUACCCUUCAAAGUUGAACACAUUUCAUCUUCUAGCGUCUUAUUAUGUGAUAUAACAAGUGACUUUGGAAUUUUGUUAUUUUUAAAUCCAAAAAACAUCCAAAGGGUGAACUCUUAAACAUAUCUAAUUGGUCCCUAUUCAAUUUUUUUUAAUGUUUCUAAAGACAUCUAUACAGAUAUAUAAACUAAGUUUUUGUAUUAUUGACCAUUUAUUCCUUUUCAGAAUUAAUGGUGCACGCUACGAACAUAUAUAAUAAAAAAAUGAGAAUAAUGAAUUGAUGCCAUAUUAUAUAUCAUAUAUUAGGCAGCAUAUAUGAAAUAACAUCAUAAAUACCUCAUAUAUAUAUAUAUAUCCUCUUUUGCAUCACUUUUUCUCCAUUUUUCUGUUCCACCUUAGCUUUUUGAAUAUAUAUAUGUGUAUUUUUUUUUCUUCUCCAAGCUUCUCUUCACUCUUUCCCCCGUACUUCGUUCUCCUUUUUUUUUCACUUUUUUUGUCUUUUAAGAUUUUGAAUCAUUUUUAUUAGAUUUUUUAUUUCCUUAUUUUGCUUUAUCUUCACGAACUGUCUUUCUCUUCUUUGACUCUUACAUUUCAUAUAAUCAAUUAAACGUUAAAUUAAUGUAUGAUUUGUUAAAAGUACAAUACUAUUAUAUUUCACAUACAUACAUUCUCAAAUUGAAUUCUUUUUCGUUUGACCUUUAAGAAUUCUUUGAAUAAUAUCCUUUCAGCAAUUGGUACAUUAUAUCAUGUACAACUUCAUUUCAAAUAUACCUAUAAAUUUUAAAAAUAAAUUUGUUGCCAAAACAAUAUAUCUCAUCCUCACAAGGUACUUCAGCGGUUUUAUAUCCUUCGUUUAUCUAUAAAAUAAAAAGCUAAUAUAUACCUCAUAUUAAGGUGUUCAAAAUGAAGUUGAAAAUUCAACCGAAUCACUAACCGAACCAAAAUCGAACUGAAACCGAAUGCGUACGGUUCGGUUCAAUUUCUAUUUUAAAAAAAUGCAUAAAAUUCGGUUCAAUUCAGUUUAAGAUGUUAAGAACCGAUUCUCAAACCGAAUCGAAUUGCUUUAUUUAAAAAAAACCAUAUAUAUAUAAAUAUAUAAAUAAUAUGUUAAUAAUAAGAUUUUUUUUAGACUUCAAAGCGGGUAUAAAGACAAAAAUCAAGGAGAGGAACGAGAAAGAGAAGAAUGGCAUAAUCAAAACGUAAAUGACAAGUUGUCUUGACGAAGUUUGUAUGACUGCAUGACUUUUAUUUAUCUUAAGUGAAUUUUGAAACUUCUAUGUUUUGAUGGAAUUUCAAAUUUCAAUGUUUGAAACAUUUAUGUCAUGUAAUUUUGAAAUUUCUAUGUUUGUAACUUUGUAUAAGCGGUUCGUUUUGAUUCAGUUUUAUGAUGCAUAUGUGGUUUGGUUUCCAUUCGGUUUGACACACAUAAACGGUUCGGUUCGGUUUCAAAUAAGAUUUUUUUUUUUCAUUUUGCGGUUCGGUGCGGUUUUAGCUAGCUUCAAAUCAGACCAAACCGAACAGUGAACACCCCUAUCUCAUAUAAGAUAACUUAAUAUAUAUACUACCUUUAUUAUAAUAUAUACAAAUCAACAUACCUCUUUAUCAUGUCUAGGCAUUCUUUUCUCACGUGUUUCCAGAACUAUGUCGGGUUUCACUGUACUUUUCUCAUCGUAUCCAACUAUAUUUGUGUUCCAUUUGGUCAACUUAUAUCAUAUUCAUCAUCCCCUGGGAACAUUAACUGUAGAGGUUGGUAGUCCCUCGGUUCUUCCUCAUAACUCUCUUCAUAAUCUUGAGAGUUAGAAGUGAUAUUGUUUUCCUCCUACAUAAUUAUACGAACACGAUAUAAUUAUAAUCCAUAUCCCUGAUCUGCCACAUAGAAUAUACCAUAUAUUUUAAAAACUUACAACAUAGAACAUAACAUAUACCUCUGCAUCAUCAAUAACUAUCGGAUCAUCAUUGUUUGAUUUGAUAGUCCUAGUCCUUGAUCCAAUGACUCUUUCACUUCUACGAACCAUUUUAUGAACUACAUGUUCAUUUAACACAUCAUAUAUAAAUCUAAAUACAGUUACAACUCUUAUUUUAAACUCUUUCUCAGUUCACAAAUAAUUUAUUAGAAAUUAUACUACAUAUUUCAAAUAUACUAAACGAUUUUAAAAUUGUCUUCAACAGUCGAAAUUUGGAUACUUUAAAACUGAAGAAACCCUAAUUUUUUUGCAUUCACAAUCUCCAUAAUCAUUUUGUUCGAUUGAUGUCUCAUAGUGUGUGAAUAUCUUCAAUAUACUCAAUAUAAUAUACCCUAAUGUAUUUCGGAUACGAAAUAUAAACUUUUACUAACCAGAUAUUUUUGUCGAAAAUGUUUCAAAACUUCACUGGUUUUAGCCGGUCGUCGAGGUUCUUCUUCUUCACCGUGUAUAUUUCUCCAAAUCUUCUACUAUCCGGCUUCUUUUGUGAAGAGAAUGGAAGGAAUAUUGUGUUGUUGUCGAGAAAGGAAAGUUUCUUCCAUUUUUUGAAAAUGCCUAAACUGUAACCCACGUUC
RNAcentral lists this long non-coding RNA (7886 nucleotides) under Cucumis sativus (cucumber). Its description in RNAcentral is "long non-coding RNA (CSAT_LNC002424)". The record is from RNAcentral. Lineage: Eukaryota; Viridiplantae; Streptophyta; Magnoliopsida; Cucurbitales; Cucurbitaceae.